Molecule: long non-coding RNA, 1173 nt
Organism: Gavialis gangeticus (Gharial)
Lineage: Eukaryota; Metazoa; Chordata; Crocodylia; Gavialidae
Exons: 2
Source: RefSeq, a predicted model, not a curated record
AGAUGUAUCAGUAGCUCAAGUAUGGUGCUCAAGAAAUCCUCUGUAAUAGAAAAAGGAUUUUAGAAGAGUGACUGACUCUUGGAAGGCUCUACAAUGUCAUCCAUCCACAGAAGCAAUGCCAGUAUUAUGACACUAAAGGAAAUCAUGGAACUUGGAUUUGUGGCAGGUGUCUCCAGCUAUACCUACUCAUCUCCAGUUAAUAACUACACAGAAACUAACAGUACCUCUAAGCCAGAUAGUUGGAAUGGUCUCGACUUGGAAAGCAUGAUGAUGAUAAAAGGCAGUCCUCAGCAUACUUUGACAAGACCCGAGUCCUCUCUGAUCAGCAGUAUGAAGGGUGAAUUGCACAGUCAGAUCCAAGGCAUUUGUGAUGGUGGCCUUGCUUCCUUCUGCAAGACCCCUGGUGGUCAUGUUGCUUUUGACUUGUCCAGUCUGGUUUCUGAAUACAGCAGAGUCGAUUACACUGUGGAUAUAUAUUGUGAUGCCAAGUCCUCUACGCCAUGCAGGGAAGAGAAGUGCCUCCAAUCAAUGGAGAACUUGCUCUCCAAGAGCUCAGAGACCGUAAUUGAUUUAUCAAAUAUCAGGAGGCCACCCCCACCUAUACUGGAAAUAUCUGAGAUACAAGCCCCUCUGGACAAUAUUCUGUCCCUUGAUGCGAGUGCUGAAGAGCCAAGAUCACUGGGAUUUGUGAAAACAGAUGCCCUCUCUCUGGAGACAUCUUCCUCUGCUAUUAUUUUGCCUUGGGCUGCUAGUAACAAAAGACACUGUAUUCCUGCCUUGGUGUCUAUUUGUUAUGAUACUCAACUAAGUGAGCCAGAGCCUGUAGCUGUGGUUCUGCCUCAACACCUAUGAUUCUGCAUUGUAAAGCAAAGCUAUGAUGAAUGCACCAGAAGAGUUUCUACUUCCAUUAUCAGAGUUUUUAGCACCUACUCUGUUUGCAGAGUACAACCUAUGACACACAUCAGUGUGCGUUUGCAGCAUGCAAAGAGGCUAGUACUUAAAGCUAAAUUACUGUACUGUACUGUACUGAACUGUAGGGAUGCUGUGUUUGGGCAAACACUAAUUUUGGUCUAUAGUUGUCUAUAUAGUAAUGCAUUACUGGAGGUUUGUCAGAUUGAUUAUAAUGGCUCUGAGUAACUUUGUUUACUAAAUAAAGCACUACUGUCACUUGAA